GAGUAACGCGUGGGAAGCUACCUUGUGGUAGGGAACAACAGUUGGAAACGACUGCUAAUACCCUAUGAGCCCUAUGGGGGAAAGAUUUAUCGCCAUGAGAUGUGCCCGCGUUAGAUUAGCUAGUUGGUAAGGUAAUGGCUUACCAAGGCGACGAUCUAUAGCUGGUCUGAGAGGAUGAUCAGCCACACUGGGACUGAGACACGGCCCAGACUCCUACGGGAGGCAGCAGUGGGGAAUAUUGGACAAUGGGGGCAACCCUGAUCCAGCCAUGCCGCGUGUGUGAUGACGGCCUUAGGGUUGUAAAGCACUUUCAGCAGUGAAGAUAAUGACAUUAACUGCAGAAGAAGCCCCGGCUAACUUCGUGCCAGCAGCCGCGGUAAUACGAAGGGGGCUAGCGUUGUUCGGAAUCACUGGGCGUAAAGCGUACGUAGGCGGACUGAUCAGUCAGGGGUGAAAUCCCGGGGCUCAACCCCGGAACUGCCUUUGAUACUGUCAGUCUUGAGAUCGAGAGAGGUGAGUGGAACUCCGAGUGUAGAGGUGAAAUUCGUAGAUAUUCGGAAGAACACCAGUGGCGAAGGCGGCUCACUGGCUCGAUACUGACGCUGAGGUACGAAAGCGUGGGGAGCAAACAGGAUUAGAUACCCCUGGUAGUCCACGCCGUAACGAUGAAUGCUAGUUGUCAGGUAGCUUGCUAUUUUGGUGACGC
Molecule: ribosomal RNA, 706 nt
Filed under: Pseudovibrio sp.
Lineage: Bacteria; Pseudomonadati; Pseudomonadota; Alphaproteobacteria; Hyphomicrobiales; Stappiaceae
Description: bacterial SSU rRNA
Rfam family: Bacterial small subunit ribosomal RNA
Source: RNAcentral